This 253-nucleotide ribosomal RNA is filed under the name uncultured bacterium. RNAcentral describes it as "partial 16S ribosomal RNA". It matches the Rfam family "Bacterial small subunit ribosomal RNA", at positions 524 to 776 of the family's 1533-position model. The record is from RNAcentral.
UACGGGGGGAGCAAGCGUUGUUCGGAUUUACUGGGCGUAAAGGGCGCGUAGGCGGCGUGACAAGUCACUUGUGAAAUCUCCGGGCUUAACUCGGAACGGUCAAGUGAUACUGUCGUGCUAGAGUACAGAAGGGGCAACUGGAAUUCUCGGUGUAGCGGUGAAAUGCGCAGAUAUCAGGAGGAACACCGAUUGCGAAGGCAGCUCGCUGGGACGUUACUGACGCUGAGACGCGAAAGCGUGGGGAGCAAACAGG